Long non-coding RNA from Mauremys reevesii (Reeves's turtle), 746 nucleotides. RefSeq lists it as uncharacterized. NCBI's taxonomy places the organism in Eukaryota, Metazoa, Chordata, Testudines, Geoemydidae. The transcript has 2 exons. The record is from RefSeq and is a predicted model, not a curated record.
UCGAAGCGGCGUCGCGGAAGGGGCGGGAUGUGUCGGGGAGGGUCAUGGGAGGAGGGUCAGCGGUGCCGGUGUGGGCUGAGCUGGGCGUCAUGUUGGGAGUGGCUUUUACCCCGCCUCCUGAGUCCUGGCUAGCGUUGCCUUGGGGGCUCGGCCUCAUCCCUGUGGUUGAGUCAGACGCGCCUGUCCUGAGCGGGUGGCAGGGCCCAGUGACCGGGCCGGCUCUGUGGGGCAGACUCAUGUUUAUGUUCCCGCUGUACUCCAGAGAUUUAACAAGGAGAUUUCUAGUAACUCUAAUCUAUUCACAAAUACUAUAGGAACUUCUGCCAUUGAGAACAUCACAUGAUGCUGAUUGUUGCCAUUUUGGCAUUCAAAAGAGGAGACUUUUUAUAGGAUGCAUGCAAAUAUUUAAUUUGCACAGCCUAUAGUAAAUAUUUCACCUAAAACAUUGACAUUGUUCCUAAAUUGUUGUGCAGCAGUUAAUUAUAGUAGGUUUGAACAUAGAAACAGAAUCCAAAUGUUGUUAAUUAGGAAGACCACGGUUGCUAUUAAUGCAGUUUUAGUUAUGAGCAGAAUGUAAUGAUUCCAUAAUGAAUAGGUAGCUUAGGUUUAUGGAGACUGGGCCAUGUUAGACCCAUUUGACUGGUUUCUUUUUAUCUUAGAACGUUUUAGGAACAAUUACAAAAUUAGUGCACGAGAAUGCAGUAAAUGUCAUGUAUCUGAUGUUUAGUAAACCAUUUGAUACCGUG